This 191-nucleotide unclassified non-coding RNA is filed under the name uncultured fungus. Its description in RNAcentral is "sequence contains ITS1". The record is from RNAcentral. Lineage: Eukaryota; Fungi.
UUGAUUCAUUUUCUUGUGAGACUCAGAAUAUGCCGCUAUGGAUUAAACAAGAGUUUGGGUCCUCCGGCGGGCGCCUGGUUCCGGGCCGUGGGCGCCGGGGCGGUCCCGCCGAAGCAACGUUCAGGUAUGUUCACAGGGGUUUGGGAGUUGAUAACUCGGUAAUGAUCCCUCCGCUGGUUCACCAACGGAGA